AUGAAUUGUUUGAGAUGGAACUGCUGGAGGCUUAGGAACCCUGAGGCGGUUCGUGAGCUUCGCGGCAUUGUGAAGCAAGAAGUUCCUGCCCUGCUGUUUGUUAUGGAGACUAAAAUCAGGGCGAAAAGAGUAGAAGAUCUGCGUCACCAACUAGGUUUCGCGGGAUGCUUUGCUGUGGACAGUGAAGGACUAAGUGGUGGUAUAGGUCUUUUCUGGUCCAAGGAAUAUGAUGUUCAGUUGAAAAAUUAUAGUUCCGUCCAUAUUGAUAAAUGGUGCGGAUGA
RNAcentral lists this ribosomal RNA (282 nucleotides) under Triticum aestivum (bread wheat). Its description in RNAcentral is "partial small subunit ribosomal RNA". The record is from RNAcentral. Lineage: Eukaryota; Viridiplantae; Streptophyta; Magnoliopsida; Poales; Poaceae.